RNAcentral lists this transfer RNA (76 nucleotides) under bacterium. Its description in RNAcentral is "tRNA-Leu". The record is from RNAcentral.
CGGAUGUAUCACAGAACAACCGGAAACCUAGAAAUAGCCAACGGGGUCGGAGGUUCAAAUCCUCUCGUUCCGACCA